GUUAGUAACGCGUGGGAUAUGCCCUUCUCUACGGAAUAGCCUCGGGAAACUGAGAGUAAUACCGUAUACGCCCUUUGGGGGAAAGAUUUAUCGGAGAAGGAUUAGCCCGCGUUAGAUUAGAUAGUUGGUGGGGUAAUGGCCUACCAAGUCUACGAUCUAUAGCUGGUUUGAGAGGAUGAUCAGCAACACUGGGACUGAGACACGGCCCAGACUCCUACGGGAGGCAGCAGUGGGGAAUCUUAGACAAUGGGCGAAAGCCUGAUCUAGCCAUGCCGCGUGAGUGAUGAAGGUCUUAGGAUCGUAAAGCUCUUUCGCUGGGGAAGAUAAUGACUGUACCCAGUAAAGAAACCCCGGCUAACUCCGUGCCAGCAGCCGCGGUAAUACGGAGGGGGUUAGCGUUGUUCGGAAUUACUGGGCGUAAAGCGUACGUAGGCGGAUUAUUAAGUUAGAGGUGAAAUCCCAGGGCUCAACCCUGGAACUGCCUUUAAUACUGGUAGUCUUGAGUUCGAGAGAGGUGAGUGGAAUUCCAAGUGUAGAGGUGAAAUUCGUAGAUAUUUGGAGGAACACCAGUGGCGAAGGCGGCUCACUGGCUCGAUACUGACGCUGAGGUACGAAAGUGUGGGGAGCAAACAGGAUUAGAUACCCUGGUAGUCCACACCGUAAACGAUGAAUGCCAGUCGUCAGGGGCUUGCCC
RNAcentral lists this ribosomal RNA (694 nucleotides) under uncultured Rhodobacterales bacterium. Its description in RNAcentral is "bacterial SSU rRNA". It matches the Rfam family "Bacterial small subunit ribosomal RNA", at positions 106 to 839 of the family's 1533-position model. The record is from RNAcentral. Lineage: Bacteria; Pseudomonadati; Pseudomonadota; Alphaproteobacteria; Rhodobacterales.